Molecule: non-coding RNA, 95 nt
Organism: Acanthosepion pharaonis
Lineage: Eukaryota; Metazoa; Mollusca; Cephalopoda; Sepiida; Sepiidae
Source: the annotation of a GenBank genome assembly
AAAAACCAGUUUCCAUACGAUCACCCAAGUUAAGCAACAUUGAGCCUGGUCAGUACUGAGAUGGGUGACUGCUUAGGAAUACCAGGUGAUGUAAG